This 166-nucleotide ribosomal RNA is filed under the name Laccaria proxima. RNAcentral's name for it is "5.8S ribosomal RNA". It matches the Rfam family "5.8S ribosomal RNA". From Rfam's summary of the family: 5.8S ribosomal RNA (5.8S rRNA) is a component of the large subunit of the eukaryotic ribosome. It is transcribed by RNA polymerase I as part of the 45S precursor that also contains 18S and 28S rRNA. Functionally, it is thought that 5.8S rRNA may be involved in ribosome translocation. Lineage: Eukaryota; Fungi; Basidiomycota; Agaricomycetes; Agaricales; Hydnangiaceae. The record is from RNAcentral.
CAACUUUCAGCAACGGAUCUCUUGGCUCUCGCAUCGAUGAAGAACGCAGCGAAAUGCGAUAAGUAAUGUGAAUUGCAGAAUUCAGUGAAUCAUCGAAUCUUUGAACGCACCUUGCGCUCCCUUGGUAUUCCGAGGAGCAUGCCUGUUUGAGUGUCAUUAAAUUCUC